UACGGGGGGGCAAGCGUUGUUCGGAAUUACUGGGCGUAAAGGGCUCGUAGGUGGCCAACUAAGUCGGACGUGAAAUCCCUCAGCUUAACUGGGGAACUGCGUCCGAUACUGGAUGGCUCGAGUUUGGGAGAGGGAUGCGGAAUUCCAGGUGUAGCGGUGAAAUGACGUAGAUAUCUGGAGGAACACCGGUGGCGAAGGCGGCAUCCUGGACCAACACUGACACUGAGGAGCGAAAGCCAGGGGAGCAAACCGGGAGUUAGAAAACCCC
This 268-nucleotide ribosomal RNA is filed under the name uncultured bacterium. RNAcentral describes it as "partial 16S ribosomal RNA". It matches the Rfam family "Bacterial small subunit ribosomal RNA", at positions 524 to 787 of the family's 1533-position model. The record is from RNAcentral.